Long non-coding RNA from Vespula vulgaris, 392 nucleotides. RefSeq lists it as uncharacterized. The transcript has 2 exons. NCBI's taxonomy places the organism in Eukaryota, Metazoa, Arthropoda, Insecta, Hymenoptera, Vespidae. The record is from RefSeq and is a predicted model, not a curated record.
UUCCUAACGAAGUUAUAUCCAGUAUCAAUCGGAUUAUUAACGUAAAUUAAGUUAAGAGAAAUACUCCAGGAAUACUUACGCGCUGCAAGCGUUGUUAAAAUUAUGCCUUGUCUAGAUAAAGCACCGACUGGCGAUUUGAAGUUAUCCGCAGUACCCAUCUUAUUUCCCUAGAUUCUAGAGAGGUUACUUAAACGACAACAUUGUUGCAUAAUCCCAGGGGCAUAUUCGUUAUUUCCUACGAAUCAAGUAACGACCAGCGUCUUCAUAAAGUGCAGCAUUUCUGUAUAUCCUCAUAGAUUUGUCGUCAAUCCUAGAACGUAUUUAGGUGGCCUCCGAGCGUCAGGCGUAACGUCAUAGUGUCCGCAUAAGCAAAUAAAUUUGUUUUUACCUAA